This 939-nucleotide ribosomal RNA is filed under the name Halophytophthora sp. RNAcentral's name for it is "partial large subunit ribosomal RNA". It matches the Rfam family "Eukaryotic large subunit ribosomal RNA", at positions 254 to 1000 of the family's 3401-position model. Lineage: Eukaryota; Oomycota; Peronosporomycetes; Peronosporales; Peronosporaceae. The record is from RNAcentral.
UUUUCUUUGAGUCGCGUUGUUUGGGAAUGCAGCGCAAAGUAGGUGGUAAAUUCCAUCUAAAGCUAAAUAUUGGUGCGAGACCGAUAGCGAACAAGUCCCGUGAGGGAAAGAUGAAAAGAACUUUGAAAAGAGAGUUAAAGAGUCCCUGAAACUGCUGAAAGGGAACCGAAUCGUUUCCAGUUUCUAUAAUCUGCGGCAUAUUUCACGUGCGAGUGUGUGCGUUUCGGCUUGGUGGCAGCGUUCUUUUGUCUGCGCCCGUUGCUGUUUGUGCGCUUGCUUGCGUGUGCCCUGUGCUGUGGUGGGACGUCAAGGUGAGUUCGUAUGCUGCGGGAAAUGGCCGUCGGGGAGGUAGGUCUUAAGCUCCGCUUUUGGCUAUUAUAUCUCGGCGGUUGAGUCGUCGCGGUUGGGACUGAGGUGCCUACAACGUGCUUUUGAGCGCGUGCGUGUCUCUGUGCGGUUGUUGUGCGGAUAGCUUGCUAUGCGCGUGGCGUUGCGUGCGGAUUGAUAUGCGCUGCUGCUUGUUGCCGUUCGGGACUUUGACCGAAUGGCGCGAUCCGACCCGUCUUGAAACACGGACCAAGGAGUCUAACACGCGUGCAAGUGUUUUGGUGUGGAAACCAUAACGCGCAAUGAAAGUAAAGGGCGCCUUGUGGCGUCUGAGGUAGGAAAGCUUGUCGUUUUGGCGAGGUGGCACUAUCGACCGAUCAUGAGCCUUCGUGGCGAAAGAUUUGAGUUUGAGCACGUGUGUUGGUACCCGAAAGAUGGUGAACUAUGCCUGAGUAGGGUGAAGCCAGGGGAAACUCUGGUGGAAGCUCGUAGCGAUUCUGACGUGCAAAUCGAUCGUCAAACUUGGGUAUAGGGGCGAAAGACUAAUCGAACCAUCUAGUAGCUGGUUCCCUCCGAAAUUUCCCUCAGGAUAGCAGCAACUUGUUUACGAUA